RNAcentral lists this long non-coding RNA (1053 nucleotides) under Ananas comosus (pineapple). RNAcentral's name for it is "long non-coding RNA (ACOM_LNC021472)". Lineage: Eukaryota; Viridiplantae; Streptophyta; Magnoliopsida; Poales; Bromeliaceae. The record is from RNAcentral.
CCACCCGUUGUACUUGAGAGUAGAUGAUGUAUAGGGUGUGAGGUUUCAUUUUGGAAAUGUAAGCUUUAUGUUUAUAUUUUGGAAGUUUAAAUGUAAUGUAAAUGAGAUGUAAAUUUGUGAAUUGAAUGGAUGUAAUAGAUAGAUGUUCUCUCUUUAUUGUUACUUGUAUGCUAUAUACUUGUACCUUGCUCUUACCUGUUAGCACUGGUCGUGCACUUCGUGAUUGUGUACUCGUGAAUUGAUUCCUGGGUAAAUUCUUGUACAUGAUCUGUUUGCUUAGCCUUGGGCGGACAGGGGAGGUGCUGUCCGCUCGGCGUCUGUUCGAUGCGCCCGAACCGGACCAAAUUGGGCGGUCUCGGGGCGUAACAAUAAUUGGGUUUUACUCAUUGUUCGGUUGAAGAUGAAAAAGUACUCGUUGAAAAGUUAUACUGUUAGUGCGCAACAGAGUAGUCUAAUGUUGGUCCGGUUUUGGUUUCUCUGAACUUUGACAUCGAUGCGAUGCAAAUUUACACACUCGGGUAAUAAUAAAAUAAUAUAAUUAGGUUUUACUUUUUGUUCGUUUGAAUGAGAAAAAGUAAUCAUUGCAAAGUUAUAAUCAUAUGGAGCAACUGAGCAGUCUAAUAUUUUUCCGGUUUUGGUUCUUCCGAAAAUUAACAUCGAUAUAUUGCAAAUUUACACUCUCGGGGCAUUAUAGAACAAUAUAAUUAGGUUUUACUCUUUGUUCGUUAGAAUGAGAAAAAGUACUCAGUGCAAAGUUAUAAUCUUAUGGAGCAACUGAGCAGUCUAAUGUUUUUCCAGUUUUGGUACUUGUGAACGUUGACAUCGAUAAGUUGAAAAUUUACACUCUCGGGGAAUAAUAGACCAAUAUAAUUAGGUUUUACCCUUUGUUCGAUUGAAGGAGAAAAUGUACUCGUUGAAAAGUUAUACUGUUAGGGCGCAACUGAGAAGUCUAAUGUUGGUCCGGCUUUGGUUCUUGUGAACGUUGACAUCGAUACGUUGCAAAUUUACACUCUCGGGGCAUAAUAGAACAAUAUAAUUAGGUUUUACUCUUUG